CACAUUUCCAUAGGAAUCUGAAUCUACUGUGAUUUUAAUGGAAGAAAACUGCAUUGACUGCAAGCAACUUUCUCAGUCUGAUUUGGCCUCUGCUAUUUGAAAUUCUUACUUUGAGCCAUAUCCAGACACCAAUACAAUACAGAUGGUAAAGGAUAAAACACUUUCUUGGAUAGAACAUCUGGCUGUCUCAUGAUCUUCACAAGCUGGUGGCUUCUGAGAAGCCUAACCCAAGGAGAUUUGUGUGACCUCACUGGAUGCUGAGUGCUCAUGAAGACACCAAAGAUAGCCUUUGCCAAUACUCUUUA
Molecule: long non-coding RNA, 305 nt
Organism: Zonotrichia leucophrys gambelii
Lineage: Eukaryota; Metazoa; Chordata; Aves; Passeriformes; Passerellidae
Exons: 3
Source: RefSeq, a predicted model, not a curated record